RNAcentral lists this ribosomal RNA (464 nucleotides) under uncultured bacterium. Its description in RNAcentral is "partial 16S ribosomal RNA". It matches the Rfam family "Bacterial small subunit ribosomal RNA", at positions 28 to 507 of the family's 1533-position model. The record is from RNAcentral.
GACGAACGCUGGCGGCGUGCUUAACACAUGCAAGUCGAACGGAAAGGCCCUGCUUGCAGGGUCCGCGAGUGGCGAACGGGUGAGUAAUACAUGGGAGAUCUGCCCUGCACGGGGGGUUAAGCCUGGGAAACUGGGUUUAUAACCGGUUAGGAGCGAUGGUUAGUGUGGUGGUUGGAAAGGUCUUUCGGUGUUGGAUGGGCUGGCGGCCUAUUAGCUUGUUGGUGGGGUAAUGGCUUACCAAGGCGGCGAUGGGUAGCCGGCCUGAGAGGGUGGACGGCCACAUUGGGACUGAGAUACGGACCAGACGCCUACGGGAGACAGCAGUGGGGAAUAUUGCACAAUGGGGGCAAGCCUGAUGAAGCGACGCCGCGUGGGGGAUGACGGCCUUCGGGUUGUAAACUCCUUUCGCUAGAGACGAAGCGUGUUUGAAGGUAACGGAGAAAGGAGGAACGGCUAACUAAGGG